AAAUAGCCAAUCACAGCCCUUAUUGGGCACCCUCAUGAACAUUUUUCAUGUUUGUGUUGCUCUGUUUACAUUUCAGAGUUGCUCGCUCCUGCCAGGGUUCUGGAGUCAGAUUGAUGAAGUCAAGAUUCAGAAGCCAUUUUGGGUACCUGGAGUCGGAGUCGGAGCCAAACCGCUUGUAUGUGGGAUCCCGGUUACACAGUAUAAUAAUGUGCGAGUUACAUCUUUCUGUCCAAGUGGCCCUUUCUAUAUUGGAGACCAGGGCGACUGCCGUCUGAACCAUAUUCUCACUUCUGUCCUGAAAACCUUGGUGAAGUCGCUCAGUUGUGCAUAUGCGGAUACAGAAUCAAAAAUACCUAUAUCAGGAAAUCCAAUCAUUCAGGAUAAUAGGCCCCAUCCUAUACACAGAAACUGCCACCCUUCAUACCCUGACUGCCCCCCCUUAACUCUUACACCCAAAAGAAACCUGCUGGCUCUGCUCUCUCAGGGUCCCCAGGGCCCCUCUGUUCUUCCAGCCAUACAUGUAGAGUCCCAGUAGCGUCCCAGUAGCGUCCCAGUAGCGUCCCAGUAGCGUCCCAGUAGCGUCCCAGUAGAGUCCCAGUAGAGUCCCAGUAGAGUCCCAGUAGAGUCCCAGUAGCGUCCCAGUAGAGUCCCAGUAGCGUGCUACUAGCUAGUCGACCACACGUGUUUACAUUCCAUUCCAACAUGUCACAUAUUCUUGUUAAAUUCAAUAGAAAUAAAGUUGGUAUGUAAAAUAUACUA
Molecule: long non-coding RNA, 759 nt
Organism: Xenopus tropicalis (tropical clawed frog)
Lineage: Eukaryota; Metazoa; Chordata; Amphibia; Anura; Pipidae
Exons: 2
Source: RefSeq, a predicted model, not a curated record